RNAcentral lists this ribosomal RNA (443 nucleotides) under uncultured bacterium. RNAcentral describes it as "partial 16S ribosomal RNA". It matches the Rfam family "Bacterial small subunit ribosomal RNA", at positions 338 to 795 of the family's 1533-position model. The record is from RNAcentral.
CCUACGGGUGGCAGCAGUGGGGAAUAUUGGGCAAUGGAGGAAACUCUGACCCAGCAACGCCGCGUGAAUGAUGAAGGUCUUCGGAUUGUAACGUUCUGUUCUAAGGGAAGAAGAAAGUGACGGUAUCUUAGGAAUAAGCUUAGGCUAACUACGUGCCAGCAGCCGCGGGAAGACGUAGGAGGCGAGCGUUAGCCUGAAUGACAUGGCGUAAAGGGUGCGUAGGUGGUUUGGCAAGUUAGUAGCGUAACUCCAAGGCUCAACCUUGGAACUACUACUAAAACUGUUGGACUUGAGUGCAGGAGGGGCAACCGGAAUUCCUAGUGUAGCGGUGUAAUGCGUAGAUAUUAGGAGGAACACCAGUGGCGAAGGCGGGUUGCUAGACUGUAACUGACACUGAGGCACGAAAGCGUGGGGAGCAAACAGGAUUAGAUACCCGAGUAGUC